RNAcentral lists this ribosomal RNA (253 nucleotides) under uncultured bacterium. Its description in RNAcentral is "partial 16S ribosomal RNA". It matches the Rfam family "Bacterial small subunit ribosomal RNA", at positions 524 to 776 of the family's 1533-position model. The record is from RNAcentral.
CACGGGGGGAGCAAGCGUUGUUCGGAAUCACUGGGCGUAAAGGGCGUGUAGGCGGUCAGGUAAGUGGGAUGUGAAAUGCCCCGGCUCACCCGGGGACCGGCAUCCCAUACUGCUUGGCUUGAGUACGGGAGAGGAUGUGGGAAUUCCUGGUGUAGCGGUGAAAUGCGUAGAUAUCAGGAGGAACACCGGUGGCGAAGGCGCACAUCUGGCCCGAUACUGACGCUGAGGCGCGAAAGCUAGGGGAGCAAAAGGG